RNAcentral lists this ribosomal RNA (441 nucleotides) under uncultured bacterium. RNAcentral's name for it is "partial 16S ribosomal RNA". It matches the Rfam family "Bacterial small subunit ribosomal RNA", at positions 338 to 795 of the family's 1533-position model. The record is from RNAcentral.
CCUACGGGGGGCAUCAGUGGGGAAUAUUGCACAAUGGGGGGAACCCUGAUGCAGCGACGCCGCGUGGGUGAAGGAGUAUUUCGGUAUGUAAAGCCCUAUCAGCAGGGAAGAACAAUGACGGUACCUGACUAAGAAGCACCGGCUAAAUACGUGCCAGCAGCCGCGGUAAUACGUAUGGUGCAAGCGUUAUCCGGAUUUACUGGGUUGAAAGGGAGCGCAGGCGGCGCGUUAAGCCUGGUGUGAAAGCCCGCGGCCCAACCGCGGGACUGCAUUGGGAACUGGCGCGCUGGAGUGCCGGAGGGGUAGGCGGAAUUCCUAGUGUAGCGGUGAAAUGCGUAGAUAUUAGGAGGAACACCAGUGGCGAAGGCGGCUUACUGGACUGUAACUGACAUUGAGGCUCGAAAGCGUGGGGAGCAAACAGGAUUAGAUACCCGUGUAGUC